GAUGAACGCUGGCGGCGUGCCUAAUACAUGCAAGUCGAGCGAACAGAUGAGGAGCUUGCUCCUCUGACGUUAGCGGCGGACGGGUGAGUAACACGAGGAUAACCUACCUAUAAGACUGGGAUAACUUCGGGAAACCGGAGCUAAUACCGGAUAAUAUAUUGAACCGCAUGGUUCAAUAGUGAAAGACGGUUUUGCUGUCACUUAUAGAUGGAUCCGCGCCGCAUUAGCUAGUUGGUAAGGUAACGGCUUACCAAGGCAACGAUGCGUAGCCGACCUGAGAGGGUGGUCGGCCCCACUGCAACUGUGACACGGUCCGGACUCCUACGGGAGGCAGCAGUAGGGAAUCUUCCGCAAUGGGCUGAAGCCUGGCGUAACACCGCCGCGUGGGUGAUAGAGGUCUUCGGAUCGUGAAUCUCUGUUAUUAGGGAAGAACAAUUGUGUAAGUAACUAUGCACGUCUUGACGGUACCUAAUCAGAAAGCCACGGCUAACUACGUG
This 497-nucleotide ribosomal RNA is filed under the name uncultured bacterium. RNAcentral describes it as "partial 16S ribosomal RNA". It matches the Rfam family "Bacterial small subunit ribosomal RNA", at positions 28 to 507 of the family's 1533-position model. The record is from RNAcentral.